AGCGAACGCUGGCGGCAGGCUUAACACAUGCAAGUCGAGCGGGCCCUUCGGGGUCAGCGGCAGACGGGUGAGUAACACGUGGGAACGUGCCCUUCGGUUCGGAAUAACUCAGGGAAACUUGAGCUAAUACCGGAUACGCCCUUAUGGGGAAAGGCUUGCUGCCGAAGGAUCGGCCCGCGUCUGAUUAGCUAGUUGGUGAGGUUAUGGCUCACCAAGGCGACGAUCAGUAGCUGGUCUGAGAGGAUGAUCAGCCACACUGGGACUGAGACACGGCCCAGACUCCUACGGGAGGCAGCAGUGGGGAAUAUUGGACAAUGGGGGCAACCCUGAUCCAGCCAUGCCGCGUGAGUGAUGACGGCCUUAGGGUUGUAAAGCUCUUUUCUCCGGGACGAUAAUGACGGUACCGGAGGAAUAAGCCCCGGCUAACUUCGUGCCAGCCGCCGCCGUAA
RNAcentral lists this ribosomal RNA (449 nucleotides) under uncultured bacterium. RNAcentral describes it as "partial 16S ribosomal RNA". It matches the Rfam family "Bacterial small subunit ribosomal RNA", at positions 29 to 523 of the family's 1533-position model. The record is from RNAcentral.